Long non-coding RNA from Dendronephthya gigantea, 182 nucleotides. RefSeq lists it as uncharacterized. The transcript has 3 exons. Lineage: Eukaryota; Metazoa; Cnidaria; Anthozoa; Malacalcyonacea; Nephtheidae. The record is from RefSeq and is a predicted model, not a curated record.
GGAGCAACGACUGUUACACCACUUCUUCAAAUCAACAUAGCAAUUGUCCUGACCAAAAGAAAGUCGUCGUCUCAGAGGUGAAAUUUAACAAUUGUAAGGUCAAGAAAAGCGUAAACACAGCUACAUACAUCACAGGUAUACCAGAUCAUUAAACAGGAAUUACUGCAAGUUCAUACUAUUUG